RNAcentral lists this small nucleolar RNA (107 nucleotides) under Theobroma cacao (cacao). Its description in RNAcentral is "Plant small nucleolar RNA R71". It matches the Rfam family "Plant small nucleolar RNA R71". From Rfam's summary of the family: R71 is a member of the C/D box family of snoRNAs containing the C (UGAUGA) and D (CUGA) box motifs. Multiple nearly identical copies of this snoRNA have been identified in Arabidopsis, and it is thought to function as a 2'-O-ribose methylation guide for 18S ribosomal RNA. The record is from Rfam by way of RNAcentral. Lineage: Eukaryota; Viridiplantae; Streptophyta; Magnoliopsida; Malvales; Malvaceae.
AAACCAUGAUAAGGGCAAUGCUUAAGUAGAUCUUUUUAUCUUUCCCAAGCCUUGUACAAUAAUUCUGAAUUUAGCUACAUGAAUGAUGUGAUAUCAUUUUUCAUCUU